RNAcentral lists this ribosomal RNA (492 nucleotides) under uncultured bacterium. RNAcentral describes it as "partial 16S ribosomal RNA". It matches the Rfam family "Bacterial small subunit ribosomal RNA", at positions 29 to 507 of the family's 1533-position model. The record is from RNAcentral.
AGUGAACGCUGGCGGUAGGCCUAACACAUGCAAGUCGAACGGCAGCACAGUAAGAGCUUGCUCUUACGGGUGGCGAGUGGCGGACGGGUGAGGAAUACAUCGGAAUCUACUUUUUCGUGGGGGAUAACGCAGGGAAACUUACGCUAAUACCGCAUACGACCUACGGGUGAAAGCAGGGGAUCUUCGGACCUUGCGCGAUUGAAUGAGCCGAUGUCGGAUUAGCUAGUUGGCGGGGUAAAGGCCCACCAAGGCGACGAUCCGUAGCUGGUCUGAGAGGAUGAUCAGCCACACUGGGACUGAGACACGGUCCAGACUCCUACGGGAGGCAGCAGUGGGGAAUAUUGGACAAUGGGCGCAAGCCUGAUCCAGCCAUACCGCGUGGGUGAAGAAGGCCUUCGGGUUGUAAAGCCCUUUUGUUGGGAAAGAAAAGCAGCAGGUUAAUACCCCGCUGUUCUGACGGUACCCAAAGAAUAAGCACCGGCUAACUUCGUG